Molecule: ribosomal RNA, 700 nt
Filed under: uncultured bacterium
Lineage: Bacteria
Description: bacterial SSU rRNA
Rfam family: Bacterial small subunit ribosomal RNA
Source: RNAcentral
AGAGUUUGAUCAUGGCUCAGGAUGAACGCUGGCGGUAUGCCUAACACAUGCAAGUCGUACGAGAGUUUUUAACUCUAGUGGCGGACGGGUGAGUAACACGUGAGAAUUUGCCUUUAGGAGGGGACAACAAUUGGAAACGAAUGCUAAUACCCCAUAUGCUUUUGAGUGAAAUGGAUUUUAUCCGCCUAAAGAGAAGCUCGCGGCUGAUUAGCUUGUUGGUAAGGUAAGAGCUUACCAAGGCGACGAUCAGUAUCUGGUUUGAGAGGACGAUCAGACACACUGGAACUGAGACACGGUCCAGACUCCUACGGGAGGCAGCAGUGGGGAAUUUUCCGCAAUGGGCGAAAGCCUGACGGAGCAAUACCGCGUGAGGGAAGAAUGCCUAUGGGUUGUAAACCUCUUUUUUCAGGGAGGAAUAACAUGACGUGUACCUGAAGAAUAAGCAUCGGCUAACUCCGUGCCAGCAGCCGCGGUAAGACGGAGGAUGCAAGUGUUAUCCGGAAUCACUGGGCGUAAAGCGUCUGUAGGUGGUUUAACAAGUCAACUGUUAAAUCUUGAUGGCUCAACUUCAAAAUCGCAGUCGAAACUAUUAGACUAGAGUAUAGUAGAGGUAAAGGGAAUUUCCCAGUGGAGCGGUGAAAUGCGUAGAUAUUGGAAAGAACACCGAUGGCGAAAGCACUUUACUGGGCUAUUACUAACA